This 242-nucleotide non-coding RNA is filed under the name Capsicum annuum. RNAcentral describes it as "Eukaryotic small subunit ribosomal RNA". It matches the Rfam family "Eukaryotic small subunit ribosomal RNA", at positions 1194 to 1417 of the family's 1831-position model. Lineage: Eukaryota; Viridiplantae; Streptophyta; Magnoliopsida; Solanales; Solanaceae. The record is from Rfam by way of RNAcentral.
UUUGACUCAAUACGAGUAAACUUACCAGAUUCAGACAUAGUAAGGAUUGAUAGACUGAGAGCUCUUUACUGAUUCUAUGGGUGGUGGUGCAUGGUAAUUCAUAGUGGGUGGAGUGAUUUGUUUGGUUAAUUUUGUUAACGAAUGACCUAUUCUUAAACUUUAAAUAGGUAGGACAGUGCAGCUGCAUUAUUGAGCCGCACCACAGAACAAAGAUCUACAAGUAGUAUCUGAUCAUCUUCGAG